Molecule: long non-coding RNA, 1102 nt
Organism: Bos taurus (domestic cattle)
Lineage: Eukaryota; Metazoa; Chordata; Mammalia; Artiodactyla; Bovidae
Source: Ensembl
UUGCUAAGUUGUGUCCAAAUCUUUUGCGACCGCAUGGACUGAGCCCACCAGGUUUCCUUUGAACAUGGGAUUCCCCAGGCAAGAAUACUGGAGUGGGUUGCCAUUUCCUUCUCCAGGGGAUCUUCUCCACCCAGGAACUGAACUCAUGUCUCCUAUAUUAGCAGGUUUGGCCCAUAGGCCCCCGAGGACUCUUACUGUCUGAGCCAGAAGUGAUGCCUCCAUCACCCGGAAAUUCCCAAUGAAAGGACUGCCUGCCGCAGAACAUGGAGAGAAGGGAGGGCCCAGUGAUGCUGUAUACAGUCCAGAGGCCUGGGCUUGAACCUUCCCCUGCCACCUACCUGUUAUAGUGUGGCAAGUUAUUUCAUCUCUUACACUUCAGUUUCAUCGUCUGUAAAAUGAGGGUAGAAGCAGCAGUACCCGCCUCAUAGGAGUGUGAGCUGAGAACACAAACACUAAGAACAGUGUCUGGCCCUGUAUUGUAAACUGCACUAAAUAUACGAUCUCUAUUUGGCAUGUACUGGAAUCCCAGGGAUGGGGGCCCCUGGUGGGCUUCUAUCUCUGGGUCGCACAGAGUUGGACACGACUGAAGUGACUUAGCAGCAACAGCAGCAGCAGUACUAUAUUCUGGAGCCAUACUAUAUGCCACUACUAUAAGAAAUCUUGGUUGCUGUUGUUUGCGAAGGCGGCUGGAGGUAAUCCUGGGUCCAUCAUCUGAUAGCUGUGUGGUCCUAGGCAAUCAUGCCUGUUCUGUGUGCCUCAGUUUUGCACCUGUAAAAUGCGAGCAGCCUCAACCUCAGAGGGUGAUGGUGAGGUUUAAACAUAAUGAUAACCAUGGAAGCCCCUGGCACUGUGCAUGGCCUAUGUUUAUGGAAUCUUAAAAAAUUAUGUGAUCUCAUUGUUAAAUGAGACCUUAAGAGACACUCUGGUACAAGAGAGGAGGGAGGAAGAUGGUUAAAUCAAAUAAAGAUGGAAAGAGGAGAAAGAAAAGGUAAAAACAAAGUGAAAUGGUCCACAGCAUGAGAAUUGGAGGGAGACUAAUGAAGAGGAAGAGGAGAGAAUGAGAAGGGAGAGGAAAAACAAAAAAAAGAAAAGAGCAGAGAAG